UCAUGUCUACCUUUGUAGAGGCUUUCCAGAACUGUGUUCCUCAGAAAACUCAGAGGUCUUUGUGGUGAAACUUGGACAUGGAGGCUUGUUUCUGAGAAGACAAGACCCAUCAUAGCCUUAUACCGGCUGCUGAGGUUCAAGAUAGCUUCAGGAUCCAAGUAGGAGAAUUCCACCAAGACUGUGUUCUCACCGUUCAUCUAUUCCCAACCCUGUAUUUCCAAAAAUUCCUUUUGUAUUCUUGAUUGAGAAAAACAUUGUUCAUCUUGAAGAAAGAAAUCAGUGCCUCUUUUCUCCUU
This 296-nucleotide long non-coding RNA is filed under the name Numida meleagris (helmeted guineafowl). RNAcentral's name for it is "lncRNA (ENSNMEG00000019077.1)". The record is from RNAcentral. Lineage: Eukaryota; Metazoa; Chordata; Aves; Galliformes; Numididae.